This 203-nucleotide ribosomal RNA is filed under the name uncultured eukaryote. RNAcentral describes it as "partial 18S ribosomal RNA". It matches the Rfam family "Eukaryotic small subunit ribosomal RNA", at positions 373 to 575 of the family's 1831-position model. The record is from RNAcentral.
GGGUUCGAUUCCGGAGAGGGAGCCUGAGAAACGGCUACCACAUCUACGGAAGGCAGCAGGCGCGAAAAUUGCCCAAUCCUGAUUCAGGGAGGCAGUGACAAGAAAUAACAAUACCGGGCCUUUACAGGUCUGGUAAUUGGAAUGAGUACAAUUUAAAUCCCUUAACGAGGAUCCACUGGAGGGCAAGUCUGGUGCCAGCAGCA